This is a long non-coding RNA of Oryzias melastigma (Indian medaka), 478 nucleotides long. RefSeq lists it as uncharacterized. NCBI's taxonomy places the organism in Eukaryota, Metazoa, Chordata, Actinopteri, Beloniformes, Adrianichthyidae. The transcript is spliced from 3 exons. The record is from RefSeq and is a predicted model, not a curated record.
CUGUGAGGUUGAAGGCUUCCAGCAUUCUGAAGCCUGCAGCAACAAAGUCAUCAAUGAAUAAAGGAAAGGUCACAGUGAGGAUUCAUACGUUUAUGGGAGUGGAUUUAACACUCACCAGACAGGUACUUGGAGGCUGCGCCCGUGCAUGCUGUCAAAAGCACAUCUGUCUGCACAGACCUGCAUUCCUGAGGGUCCAACAACAUCAAAAGCGCCGAUCACGGUGGAGACAAAGUUCACGACUUUGGUGAAACUCUCCUCGCCGAUACUCCAGGACCCGUCGAUGACGAACACCACAUCUGCUUUGGCACCUUUACAAACUGAGCCUGAUCUUCUGGGUUCCAUCUUUCCUGGAAGUAUCAUGUCAUUCGUGGGAUGGAAAGACCAAAGCCACAGCAAGUGAGUCAACGUUACAUCACUCCUGAGGGAAAGCGACCCCAAAAAGUGGCCAUUGCGGACUUACCUGCCCACGCAGGGGGGA